RNAcentral lists this ribosomal RNA (389 nucleotides) under uncultured bacterium. RNAcentral describes it as "partial 16S ribosomal RNA". It matches the Rfam family "Bacterial small subunit ribosomal RNA", at positions 338 to 724 of the family's 1533-position model. The record is from RNAcentral.
CCUACGGGUGGCAGCAGUGAGGAAUAUUGGUCAAUGGGCGAGAGCCUGAACCAGCAAAGUCGCGUGAGGGAUGAAGGUUCUAUGGAUCGUAAACCUCUUUUAUAAGGGAGUAAAGUGUGGGACGUGUCCUAUUUGGUAUGUACAUUAUGAAUAAGGAAGGGCUAACUACGUGCCAGCAGCGGCGGUAAUACGGAGGAUCCGAGCGUUAUCCGGAUUUAUUGGGUUUAAAGGGUGCGUAGGCGGCCUUUUAAGUCAGCGGUGAAAGUCUGUGGCUCAACUAGAGAAUUGCCUUUGAAACUGGGGGGCUUGAGUAUGUUUGAGGCAGGUGGAAUGCGUGGUGUAGCGGUGAAAUGCUUAGAUAUCACGCAGAACCCCGAUUGCGAAGGCAG